RNAcentral lists this transfer RNA (71 nucleotides) under Cynoglossus itinus. RNAcentral's name for it is "tRNA-Gln". It matches the Rfam family "tRNA". From Rfam's summary of the family: Transfer RNA (tRNA) molecules are approximately 80 nucleotides in length. Their secondary structure includes four short double-helical elements and three loops (D, anti-codon, and T loops). Further hydrogen bonds mediate the characteristic L-shaped molecular structure. tRNAs have two regions of fundamental functional importance: the anti-codon, which is responsible for specific mRNA codon recognition, and the 3' end, to which the tRNAs corresponding amino acid is attached (by aminoacyl-tRNA synthetases). tRNAs cope with the degeneracy of the genetic code in two manners: having more than one tRNA (with a specific anti-codon) for a particular amino acid; and 'wobble' base-pairing, i.e. permitting non-standard base-pairing at the 3rd anti-codon position. The record is from RNAcentral. Lineage: Eukaryota; Metazoa; Chordata; Actinopteri; Pleuronectiformes; Cynoglossidae.
UAGAGAGUAGUGUACUGGAAGCACGAAGAGUUUUGAUCUCUUAAGUAGAGGCUCGUAUCCUCUCUCACUAA